RNAcentral lists this long non-coding RNA (1073 nucleotides) under Homo sapiens (human). Its description in RNAcentral is "HSALNT0324844". Lineage: Eukaryota; Metazoa; Chordata; Mammalia; Primates; Hominidae. The record is from RNAcentral.
GCCAUGAGGGCGGGAACCCUCGUACGCGGAAGUUCAUGAGGGCGGGACCCUCGUACGCGGAAGGUCAUGAGGGCGGGACCCUCGUACGCGGAAGUUCAUGCGGGCGGGACCCUCGUACGUGGAAGGUCAUGAGGGCGGGACCCUCGUACGUGGAAGGUCAUGAGGGCGGAACCCUGGUACAUGAAAUUCGUUCUCUUAUUUAAGAGACAAAGAACGCCCUUGUUUUUUCCACCACGUGAUGGCGCAGACAGAAGACAACCAGCAUCUAUGAACCAGGAAGCCCCCACCAGGCACUGAAUCUGCCCCUGCGUGGAUCUUAGACUUGCAGACUCCAGAACUCAACAUGGAUAUAGCUAGAGGCCGUUAUCCUAAGUAACUUAACAAAGGAACAGAAAACCAAACACUGCAUGUUCUCACUUAUAAGAGGGAGGUAACCAUUGGGCAUUCAGAGCUGUAAAGAUGGGAAUAAGAACCUUACAAUGUCUCUUCUCCAUUAAGAAAACCUACUUCAACAUCUCCAUUGGUUCUCAACAUAGAGGUCCAAAUUUUGGUCUGGAGCCAGAGACAAUAUAGGAUGAAGUUUGAUUUGUUCCAAAACCCACAGAAAUCUCUAAAAUGGAAGAAUUUUCUUAGAACCAAAAGGCAUGGAAUUGAUGACAUGAAACUGCCUGAGCUUCUCAGCUGACCUGUGAUGGAGUGUUGUGCCCAAGUGGAAAGUUCUUCUUUCUUUCAGAGACAUAUCAUUCACCAUAAAAUACAACCAGAGACUUCAAAAUUACUCCAGGCUAGAAGGACACUCCAAUUAGGGGAAAAGUAACCUAUGGGCAAACCAUCUUCCGUAAGAGUUCAAGGACAAAAAACUACUGAUGUUGUAAUAACAUUGAAACUUAAUGUUUUGGGCAAUCCUUAAGUGAUUUAUUUGGAGUGUCCCAGUCAUUUUAGACCUCUUCACCUUACAAUGUAUUGUGUGAGAUUAUAUUUCCAUGCACCUAAUUUUAAAAUAAAUUUAUUUAGGUAGAUGUAGAGACAUAUUACUGUGAUAAAGCAGUUCAUACCAAAUAAAAUUUAGCUAA